UCCCUGGCAGUCCAGUGGCGAAGACUCCUUGCUCCCAAUGCAGGGGGCCCAGGUUCAAUCCCUGGUCAGGGAA
RNAcentral lists this transfer RNA (73 nucleotides) under Bos taurus (domestic cattle). It matches the Rfam family "tRNA". From Rfam's summary of the family: Transfer RNA (tRNA) molecules are approximately 80 nucleotides in length. Their secondary structure includes four short double-helical elements and three loops (D, anti-codon, and T loops). The record is from Rfam by way of RNAcentral. Lineage: Eukaryota; Metazoa; Chordata; Mammalia; Artiodactyla; Bovidae. RNAcentral also lists the same sequence under 4 other names.